CGUACACUCCUGCGGGAGGCAGCAGUGGGGAAUAUUGGACAAUGGGCGCAAGCCUGAUCCAGCCAUGCCGCGUGAGUGAUGAAGGCCCUAGGGUUGUAAAGCUCUUUCACCGGUGAAGAUACUGACGGUAACCGGAGAAGAAGCCCCGGCUAACUUCGUGCCAGCAGCCGCGGUAAUACGAAGGGGGCUAGCGUUGUUCGGAUUUACUGGGCGUAAAGCGCACGUAGGCGGACUAUUAAGUCAGGGGUGAAAUCCCGGGGCUCAACCCCGGAACUGCCUUUGAUACUGGUAGUCUUGAGUUCGAGAGAGGUGAGUGGAAUUCCGAGUGUAGAGGUGAAAUUCGUAGAUAUUCGGAGGAACACCAGUGGCGAAGGCGGCUCACUGGCUCGAUACUGACGCUGAGGUGCGAAAGCGUGGGGAGCAAACAGGAUUAGAUACCCCGGUAGUCCCAUGAU
RNAcentral lists this ribosomal RNA (455 nucleotides) under uncultured organism. RNAcentral describes it as "partial 16S ribosomal RNA". It matches the Rfam family "Bacterial small subunit ribosomal RNA", at positions 330 to 801 of the family's 1533-position model. The record is from RNAcentral.